Molecule: ribosomal RNA, 270 nt
Filed under: uncultured bacterium
Lineage: Bacteria
Description: partial 16S ribosomal RNA
Rfam family: Bacterial small subunit ribosomal RNA
Source: RNAcentral
AAUGAACGCUGGCGGCAUGCCUAACACAUGCAAGUCGAACGAAGGCUUCGGCCUUAGUGGCGCACGGGUGCGUAACGCGUGGGAAUCUGCCCUUGGGUUCGGAAUAACAGUGAGAAAUUACUGCUAAUACCGGAUGAUGUCGAAAGACCAAAGAUUUAUCGCCCAGGGAUGAGCCCGCGUAGGAUUAGGUAGUUGGUGAGGUAAAAGCUCACCAAGCCGACGAUCCUUAGCUGGUCUGAGAGGAUGAUCAGCCACACUGGGACUGAGACA